This 27-nucleotide non-coding RNA is filed under the name Rattus norvegicus (Norway rat). Lineage: Eukaryota; Metazoa; Chordata; Mammalia; Rodentia; Muridae. The record is from RNAcentral.
UUGUGAUAGAAUUUUAACUGGUACCAU